GCUCCCUUAGCUCAGCUGGAUAGAGCAGCUGCCUUCUAAGCAGCUUGUCGCAGGUUCGAAUCCUGCAGGGAGCG
RNAcentral lists this transfer RNA (74 nucleotides) under Prochlorococcaceae cyanobacterium ETNP1_MAG_8. Its description in RNAcentral is "tRNA-Arg". It matches the Rfam family "tRNA". Rfam says of the family: Transfer RNA (tRNA) molecules are approximately 80 nucleotides in length. Their secondary structure includes four short double-helical elements and three loops (D, anti-codon, and T loops). Further hydrogen bonds mediate the characteristic L-shaped molecular structure. tRNAs have two regions of fundamental functional importance: the anti-codon, which is responsible for specific mRNA codon recognition, and the 3' end, to which the tRNAs corresponding amino acid is attached (by aminoacyl-tRNA synthetases). tRNAs cope with the degeneracy of the genetic code in two manners: having more than one tRNA (with a specific anti-codon) for a particular amino acid; and 'wobble' base-pairing, i.e. permitting non-standard base-pairing at the 3rd anti-codon position. Lineage: Bacteria; Bacillati; Cyanobacteriota; Cyanophyceae; Synechococcales; Prochlorococcaceae. The record is from RNAcentral.